Molecule: non-coding RNA, 109 nt
Organism: Acanthosepion pharaonis
Lineage: Eukaryota; Metazoa; Mollusca; Cephalopoda; Sepiida; Sepiidae
Source: the annotation of a GenBank genome assembly
UUACGGCCAUAUCACAUUGAAACAUUGGUUCCCGUUCGAUCUGCGAAGUUAAAUAAUGUCGAUCCUGGUCAGUACCUAGAUGGGCAAACGAUUGGAAAUACAAGGUGCU